This 1451-nucleotide ribosomal RNA is filed under the name uncultured organism. Its description in RNAcentral is "16S ribosomal RNA". It matches the Rfam family "Bacterial small subunit ribosomal RNA". The record is from RNAcentral.
CAGGCUUAACAGAUGCUCGUCGUGGGGAAACGGCAUUAUGUGCUUGCUCAUUCAGGACGUCCACCGGCGCACGGGUGAGUAUCGCGUAUCAAACCUGCCCCUUACUUGGGGAUACCCCGUUGAAAGACGGCCUAAUACCCGAUGUGUUUCAUUGACGGCAUCCGAUAUGAAAUCCAGGUUUUCCGGUAAGGGAUGGGGAUGCCUCUGAUUAGCUUGUUGGCGGGCCACCGGCCCACCCAGGCGACGAUCAGUAUGGGUUCUGACAGGAAGGUCCCCCACAUUGGAACUGAUACCCGGCCCCCACUCCUACGGCAGGCAGCAGUGAAGAAUAUUGGUCAAUGGACGCAACUCUGAACCAGCCAAGUACCGUGCACGAUGACUGCCCUAUGGGCUGUAAACUGCUUUUAUGUGCGAAUAAAGUGGCGCACGUGUGCGCCAUUGCUUGUACCUCAUGAAUAAUCGACCGGCUAAUUCCGGGGCCAGCAGCCGCAGUAAUACGGAAUGUCCGGGCGUUUAUCCGGAUUUAUUGGGUUUAAAGGGAGGGUGGGCGGUCUGUUAAGCGUGUUGUGAAAAUUUAGGUGCUCAACAUUUAACUUGCAGCGCGAACUGUCAGACUUGAGUACAAGCAGCGCAGGCGGGAAUUUCAUGGUGUAGCGGUGAAAUGCUUAGAUAUCAUGAGGAACUCCGAUCGCGAAGGCAGCCUGCGGGAGUGUUACUGACGCUUAAGCUCGAAGGUGCGGGUAUCGAACAGGAUUAGAUACCCUGGUAGUCCGCACGGUAAACGAUGGAUGCCCGCCGUUGGCGCCGUGCGCUUGCGGCCAAGUGAAAGCAUUAAGCAUCCCACGUGGGGAGUACGCUGGCAACGGUGAAACUCAAAGGAAUUGACGGGGGCCCGCACAAGCGGAGGAACAUGUGGUUUAAUUCGAUGAUACACGAGGAACCUUACCCGGGCUUGAAUUGCAGUCGCUGCCCACAGAGAUGUGGGCUUCCCUUUGGGGCGUCUGUGAAGGUGCUGCAUGGUUGUCGUCAGCUCGUGCUGUGAGGUGUCGGCUUAAGUGCCAUAACGAGCGCAACCCCCUUUCCCAGUUGCCAUCGGGUGAUGCCGGGCACUCUGGGGACACUGCCACCGCAAGGUGCGAGGAAGGUGGGGAUGACGUCAAAUCAGCGUCGGCCGUUACGUCCGGGGCUACACACGUGUUACAAUGGCCGGUACAGAGGGGCGGUGCAAUGCAAGUUGCAUCCAAUCUUGAAAUCCGGUGCCAGUUUGGAGUGGGGUCUGCAACCCGACCCCAUGAAGCUGGAUUUGGUAGUAAUCGUGCAUCAGCCAUGGGGCGGUGAAUACGUUCCCGGGCCUUGUACACACCGCCCGUCAAGCCAUGAAAGCCGGGGGUGCGUGAAGUUCGUGACCGCGAGGAGCGACCUAGGGCAAGACCGGUGAUUGGGGCUAAGUC